AACAUCGCGCACCUGCGGGAACCUGCGGAAGGAUCAUUACAGAGUUGCAAAACUCCCUAAACCAUUGUGAACGUUACCCAAACCGUUGCUUCGGCGGGCGGCCCGGGUCCUUCCCGGCGCCCCUCGGCCCUCGCGGGCGCCCGCCGGAGGUAAACCAAACUAUUGCAUUGUAUGGCCUCUCUGAGUCUUCUGUACUGAAUAAGUCAAAACUUUCAGCAACGGAUCUCAGAUCGGAAGAGC
Molecule: unclassified non-coding RNA, 240 nt
Filed under: soil metagenome
Description: partial contains 5.8S ribosomal RNA, internal transcribed spacer 2, and large subunit ribosomal RNA
Source: RNAcentral